RNAcentral lists this long non-coding RNA (103 nucleotides) under Penaeus japonicus. RNAcentral's name for it is "uncharacterized LOC122251354". The record is from RNAcentral. Lineage: Eukaryota; Metazoa; Arthropoda; Malacostraca; Decapoda; Penaeidae.
AAAGUGCCCGUGGAAGCCGUUCCCUAGAGCCCGUGACGAAGGUCCUAGACGCCCUGGCGGAGGCGGUGAAGAAGUGGGAGGCGCAGGAGGAAGGCGCCGUUAG